AUUGAACGCUGGCGGAAUGCUUUACACAUGCAAGUCGAACGGUAGAGGGGGCAACCCCUCGAGAGAGGCGAACGGGUGAGUAAUAUAUCGGAACGUGCCCAGUCGUGGGGGAUAACGUAGCGAAAGUUACGCUAAUACCGCAUACGAUCUAAGGAUGAAAGCGGGGGAUCGCAAGACCUCGCGCGAUUGGAGCGGCCGAUAGCAGAUUAGGUAGUCGGUGGGGUAAAGGCUCACCAAGCCAACGAUCUGACGCUGGUCUGAGCGGGCGACCAGCCACACCGGAACGGAGACACGGUCCAGACUCCUACGGGAGACAGCAGGGGUGAAUUUUGGACAAUGGCCGCAAGUCUGAUCCAGCCAUUCCGCUUGCAGGAUGAAGGCCCUCGGGUUGUAAACUGCUUUUGUACGGAACGAAAAGGUCUCUCUUAAUACGGGGGGCUCAUGACGGUACCGUAAGAAUAAGCACCGGCUAACUACGUGCCAGCCGCCGCGGUAA
This 496-nucleotide ribosomal RNA is filed under the name uncultured bacterium. RNAcentral describes it as "partial 16S ribosomal RNA". It matches the Rfam family "Bacterial small subunit ribosomal RNA", at positions 30 to 523 of the family's 1533-position model. The record is from RNAcentral.